CCUACGGGGUGCAGCAGUGGGGAAUAUUGCACAAUGGGGGGAACCCUGAUGCAGCAAUGCCGCGUGGGUGAAGAAGCACUCCGGUGCGUAAAGCCCUGUCAGCAGGGAAGAAAAUGACAGUACCUGGACAAGAAGCCCCGGCUAACUACGUGCCAGCAGCCGCGGUAAUACGUAGGAUGCGAGCGUUAUCCGGAUUUAUUGGGUUUAAAGGGUGCGCAGGCGGAAGAUCAAGUCAGCGGUAAAAUUGAGAGGCUCAACCUCUUCGAGCCGUUGAAACUGGUUUUCUUGAGUGAGUGAGAAGUAUGCGGAAUGCGUGGUGUAGCGGUGAAAUGCAUAGAUAUCACGCAGAACUCCGAGUGCGAAGGCAGCAUACCGGCGCUCAACUGACGCUCAUGCACGAAAGUGUGGGUAUCGAACAGGAUUAGAUACCCUGGUAGUC
This 439-nucleotide ribosomal RNA is filed under the name uncultured bacterium. RNAcentral's name for it is "partial 16S ribosomal RNA". It matches the Rfam family "Bacterial small subunit ribosomal RNA", at positions 338 to 795 of the family's 1533-position model. The record is from RNAcentral.